AUGGAAUGCCCUGUCCGGUGUAAGCUAAAUGCAGAUGGAGCAUGGUGGGUGGUCACCGAAUAUUUCGACGAACACAACCAUGAACUCAUAAAGAAGUUUGAUCUCGUAAAAUUUCUGAGCGCCCAUAGAGGAUUCCCCCUCAAGAAGAAAUUCAUAAAGCUGCUACAUGAUUGUAACGUCAGUCCAUAAAGAAUGGUCCAGAUACUGUCCUUGAUCCACAGCGGAGAUGGUAGACUGAGUAGCAUGACCUACAUACCGGAAGACAUCACAAACCUAAAGGCAAAGUACCAUAGAGAGAGCAGGUUGGCUGACAUAGAAGACACGAUAGCCUACUUCGAAGAGAAAGCAAAAGCGGAUGCUGAUUUCUUCUAUAGGAUAAGAUUGGACGAUGAGGACCGUGUCAGAAACAUGUAUUGGGUGGAUGGUGCUACAAGAAGAUCCUACAAACAUUUCCAUGAUUGCAUUUCAUUCGACACGACAUAUCUCACAAAUAUGUACAAGAUGCCCUGCGCUCCAUUCAUGGGAAUAAAUAACCACAAUACAGAUGGUUACACUUGGCUGUUCAAAACCUUCUUGGAGUGCAUGGAUGGACUUGCUCCGAUGAAUAUAAUAACAGACCAGGAUUUUAGCAUGCGUGCAGGCAUAGAGGAGGUCUUUCCGUUGGCAUUGCACAUGCACUGCAGGUGGCAUAUUAUUAAGAAGGCUGAGGAGUGCUUCUUCCCAUUUCUGCAGACUACGCAGCACAGCGAGGGGUUCAAUUCUGUUUUGAAGUGGUACGACGGGAUUGUGUGCUGUCACAUGCUGAAAAUAAUGGACAUGGUCGUGGUAACGCGAUUGCCCCGCCAUUUCAUACGGCGGCGAUGGACUUGGGAUGCUGAUGAUGCGUUGGGGCCACAAACAUCAAAUGCAGUUUUGGCUGUGCAUGAUGAGAGACCAGCGGCAACCAUGGAAGCUGUGAGGCACGUUGUGUUGACCAAGAACUAUACUGAACUAAUAGAUGAAGCAUGCAAGAGUGAUGAGACAGCAAGGGUGGCAGAAAAACACAUGAAGGCCCUGAAAAGAGAGCUUGAUGAGAUCAAAAAUAGGAAGGCUGAAGAAGCCUUACACAGGUUCCCUCGUACCUCAAGUGUGCCUUCAUCCACGGGUCCAUCAUUUGAAAACUCGGAGGUAGGGUCUGGAACAGCAAACACGCAAACCUAG
Molecule: ribosomal RNA, 1200 nt
Filed under: Triticum aestivum (bread wheat)
Lineage: Eukaryota; Viridiplantae; Streptophyta; Magnoliopsida; Poales; Poaceae
Description: partial small subunit ribosomal RNA
Source: RNAcentral